GUUAGUUAUCUACUGCUGCACUGGAUGCAUUCAAAACUGUAAGGGGCUAAAAACUUACCAUUUCCUGGUCUUUUAUGGCUCAUACUCUUUUAAGAAAGGAGGUCAGGAAGUCCCAAUUGAAUUACUCAAUAAUAUUGGUGUCCUUGAGUCUUAAUAGCAAGAAUUUGAG
Molecule: long non-coding RNA, 169 nt
Organism: Trifolium pratense (red clover)
Lineage: Eukaryota; Viridiplantae; Streptophyta; Magnoliopsida; Fabales; Fabaceae
Exons: 3
Source: RefSeq, a predicted model, not a curated record